GAUGAACGCUGGCGGCGUGCCUAAUACAUGCAAGUCGAGCGAACGGACGAGAAGCUUGCUUUUCUGAUGUUAGCGGCGGACGGGUGAGUAACACGUGGAUAACCUACCUAUAAGACUGGGAUAACUUCGGGAAACCGGAGCUAAUACCGGAUAAUAUUUUGAACCGCAUGGUUCAAAAGUGAAAGACGGUCUUGCUGUCACUUAUAGAUGGAUCCGCGCUGCAUUAGCUAGUUGGUAAGGUAACGGCUUACCAAGGCAACGAUGCAUAGCCGACCUGAGAGGGUGAUCGGCUACACUGGAACUGAGACACGGUCCAGACUCCUACGGGAGGCAGCAGUAGGGAAUCUUCCGCAAAGGGCGAAAGCCUGACGGAGCAACGCCGCGUGAGUGAUGAAGGUCUUCGGAUCGUAAAACUCUGUUAUUAGGGAAGAACAUAUGUGUAAGUAACUGUGCACAUCUUGACGGUACCUAAUCAGAAAGCCACGGCUAACUACGUG
Molecule: ribosomal RNA, 497 nt
Filed under: uncultured bacterium
Lineage: Bacteria
Description: partial 16S ribosomal RNA
Rfam family: Bacterial small subunit ribosomal RNA
Source: RNAcentral